GACGAACGCUGGCGGCGUGCUUAACACAUGCCAGUCGAACGGAAAGGCCCUGCUUUUGUGGGGUGUUCGAGUGGCGAACGGGUGAGUAACACGUGAGUAACCUGCCCUUGACUUUGGGAUAACUUCAGGAAACUGGGGCUAAUACCGGAUAGGAGCUCCUGCUGCAUGGUGGGGGUUGGAAAGCUUCGGCGGUUGGGGAUGGACUCGCGGCUUAUCAGCUUGUUGGUGGGGUAGUGGCUUACCAAGGCUUUGACGGGUAGCCGGCCUGAGAGGGUGACCGGCCACAUUGGGACUGAGAUACGGCCCAGACUCCUACGGGAGGCAGCAGUGGGGAAUAUUGCACAAUGGGCGGAAGCCUGAUGCAGCAACGCCGCGUGCGGGAUGACGGCCUUCGGGUUGUAAACCGCUUUCGCCUGUGACGAAGCGUGAGUGACGGUAAUGGGUAAAGAAGCACCGGCUAACUACGUG
RNAcentral lists this ribosomal RNA (468 nucleotides) under uncultured bacterium. RNAcentral's name for it is "partial 16S ribosomal RNA". It matches the Rfam family "Bacterial small subunit ribosomal RNA", at positions 28 to 507 of the family's 1533-position model. The record is from RNAcentral.